Molecule: small nuclear RNA, 192 nt
Organism: Oppia nitens
Lineage: Eukaryota; Metazoa; Arthropoda; Arachnida; Sarcoptiformes; Oppiidae
Product: U2 spliceosomal RNA
Exons: 1
Source: RefSeq, a predicted model, not a curated record
AUCGCUUCUCGGCCUUUUGGCUAAGAUCAAAGUGUAGUAUCUGUUCUUAUCAGCUUAAUAUCUGAUACGACUCCCAUUGGGGGUCAAGAUAUUAAACUAAUUUUUGCGGGACAGCGAAGUCAAGGGGCUGUGCUCCUGCUUUGCUAUGGGUUGGCCUGGAAUUGCAGUACAUCCAGGAGGGGCCCACCAAAU